RNAcentral lists this unclassified non-coding RNA (254 nucleotides) under uncultured Acidimicrobiia bacterium. Its description in RNAcentral is "contains 16S-23S intergenic spacer region". It matches the Rfam family "Bacterial small subunit ribosomal RNA", at positions 524 to 776 of the family's 1533-position model. The record is from RNAcentral. Lineage: Bacteria; Bacillati; Actinomycetota; Acidimicrobiia.
UACGGAGGGUGCAAGCGUUAUCCGGAAUCAUUGGGCGUAAAGAGCUCGUAGGCGGUUCAUCAAGUCGGCUGUGAAAUUCCGAGGCUUAACCUCGGAAUUGCAGUCGAUACUGUUGUGACUCGAGUCCGGUAGAGGAGAAUGGAAUUCCAGGUGUAGCGGUGAAAUGCGCAGAGAUCGGGAGGAACACCAGUAGCGAAGGCGGUUCUCUGGGCCGGCACUGACGCUGAGGAGCGAAAGCGUGGGGAGCGAACAGG